This 431-nucleotide ribosomal RNA is filed under the name uncultured Gammaproteobacteria bacterium. Its description in RNAcentral is "bacterial SSU rRNA". It matches the Rfam family "Bacterial small subunit ribosomal RNA", at positions 355 to 776 of the family's 1533-position model. RNAcentral also lists the same sequence under 1 other name. Lineage: Bacteria; Pseudomonadati; Pseudomonadota; Gammaproteobacteria. The record is from RNAcentral.
UGGGGAAUAUUGGACAAUGGGCGCAAGCCUGAUCCAGCAAUGCCGCGUGUGUGAAGAAGGCCCUCGUUGGUUGUAAAGCACUUUCAGUGGGGAAGAAAAGCCGGGUGCCAAUACCAUCCGGCCCUGACGUUACCCACAGAAGAAGCACCGGCUAACUCUGUGCCAGCAGCCGCGGUAAUACAGAGGGUGCGAGCGUUAAUCGGAAUUACUGGGCGUAAAGGGCGCGUAGGCGGUCUGGUAAGUUGGGUGUGAAAGCCUCGGGCUUAACCUGGGAAUUGCAUUCAAUACUGCCGGACUGGAGUAUGGUAGAGGGAAGUGGAAUUCCGGGUGUAGCGGUGAAAUGCGUAGAUAUCCGGAGGAACACCAGUGGCGAAGGCGGCUUCCUGGACCAAUACUGACGCUGAGGCGCGAAAGCGUGGGGAGCAAACAGG